AACGAACGCUGGCGGCAUGCCUAACACAUGCAAGUCGAACGAGACCUUCGGGUCUAGUGGCGCACGGGUGCGUAACGCGUGGGAACCUGCCCUUAGGUUCGGCAUAACUCCCCGAAAGGGGUGCUAAUACCGGCUAAUGUCUCCGGACCAAAGAUUUAUCGCCUUUGGAUGGGCCUGCGUUGGAUUAGCUAGUUGUUAGGGUAAAAGCCUACCAAGGCGACGAUCCAUAGCUGGUCUGAGAGGAUGAUCAGCGACACUGGGACUGAGACACGGCCCAGACUCCUACGGGAGGCAGCAGUGGGGAAUAUUGGACAAUGGGCGAAAGCCUGAUCCAGCAAUGCCGCGUGAGUGAUGAAGGCCUUAGGGUUGUAAAGCUCUUUUACCCGGGAUGAUAAUGACAGUACCGGGAGAAUAAGCUCCGGCUAACUCCGUG
This 433-nucleotide ribosomal RNA is filed under the name uncultured bacterium. Its description in RNAcentral is "partial 16S ribosomal RNA". It matches the Rfam family "Bacterial small subunit ribosomal RNA", at positions 29 to 507 of the family's 1533-position model. The record is from RNAcentral.